CAGUCAGGAGGCCCCGGGUGGGCCACGACCUUGCUCUGUGAUGGGGCCUUGGUUUUCCUAUUUGAUGAGGGUGGUGGUCCUGGGACUGGUGGUGCAGAACAGCCUUGGUGGUCGUCCUCGAAAAUUCCUAAGGCUCCCUUCUGCUCUGAGCCUCUGGGAACUUCUUCUGUGAGUCUAAGAGGAAAGCUUGCAGGAAACGUGGAGAUGUUCUAACCCUACCUGGGAAGAUGCCCAGCCCAGCAGGGAUCCUGGCCCUGGGGGCGGGGGCAGGGACAGUGCUGCUGGCCUGGGGCUGUGGACCCUUAGAACCUCCUGUUCCGUCUCCACGACGACCCUGUGAGGCAGUGACGACCACCCUCUUAGCAGAAGAGGGGGCAGCUGAGGUGAAAGGGGUGGUCUCCUGCCCAAGGUCACCGGUUGGUGAGUUUCAGGGCUGGAACUUGCAUCCAAACCUUUCCCCAGACCCCACUGGACUAUUUCCCCAGAUCCCACACUCUUCCCAUUGGACUAAGUGAGAAAUCACUGUGACCCGAGGGGAGGAUGGAGGGGGCAGGAAACAAUUAAAACCUUCUAAUGUUCUUUUCUUAAAUGAUAGUCCCCGUAAUUACACUUGGAAUUCACCAGGCAUUUCCUUCCCACGGGCUUAGAGUCCCUGUCUGCAUGUAACAGGGUCAUUUCCACCGCAGAAGCUGGGGAGGCAGGAAGGGGGCCUGGGGGGCAGCGGCUUUCUCCCCAGUGGCCCCCACCAUCAGACCGGCUUUUCUGGAAUCCUUUCUAGAACAGCAACUCUCCAGUUGCAGGGCUUGUCCAGCUUUUGUUUGGUGGUUUAUUUGUUUUUAAAGCAUCUGUUUUCUUCUCAGUCCUUGGAGCGCGCUCAUGCUUGAUGAGGGUACUGCUGGUACUGCCCCCUCCUGACCACUCGGUUGUCUUCUUUCUGUCUGUUACCGCGAGCUUGUGUCACGAAAGUCGCCUUUAUGAUGACUGUGGGGGGUCUGCCAGGAGGCCGAGCGGGUGGGGCGGCUUCCUCUGGAUGCACAUCUCGGGGACAUCCCCUCCCCGUGCCGAGGGGACCCUGGGCUCCGCGCAGACCCCGGCCAGGUCCGCUGUGCUGUGCCCUGCGAGUUCUACAGGCACCAGGUGAGGCGGGGCUGCGAGGGAGAGGGCGGCCCUCCUGCCCCGGGGACCCCAGGUGUCCUUGCAGGGAGAGGGCGGGCAGUGGGCUCUGCCUGCUCCACAGCUAACGCAGAGGCACCAGGACGGGACUCUGCCUAGGAGGCACCAGGGCGAGGGCCCGGCUUCUGGGAAACGGAGGAACCGUCGAGGGACCUUUGCAGGUGGCCGCCUUAUCCAGACGCUGCAGCUUAACGACACUUCUCUCCAAACUCCUGGUGUCAGGUGGCAGCGGGAACGGGAUUUUCAGACGUGCAUCUGGCUUUCUUUGAGCACAGUCGAGCCAACGUUCACAUUAUCUCCGGGAGUAAGGGUGUCGUGAGUGAAAACGGUCUGCAGCUCAUCCAGAAACCCCCUGGGAGCCAGAGCCCUGACCCAGCCUGGCCUGAGCCUGUGGGAGGAUCCUCCCAGGAGCAGGGCCUUCAUCCCUGCUCACCUUCCAGCGAGGAUGCUGGUGAGUAGGGUGGCCAGGGCCCAGGAAGGAGAGAGGAGGCUGGAUGGAGGCCCCCUGCCCAGAGGAGGCAGCAGACAGCCUGGACCAGCCGGCUUCCACUCUGAACCUGACCUUGGGCUGUUGGUGCACGUUGUCGGGUCCAGACUCCGUUUCCUCACCUGCGGAUGCCCACGUGGGCUUUUUGAUCUCUUGAGCGCUCCUUAGGCCUGGAAAAGAAAGGAGUACCCACAACCGCCUUUCUCGUCUUACCUCCGUCUCUGCCCCUCCUCUCACUCCCAUUUUCUCUUCCCUCCUCUGCAGGGGCAGUUGUGGGACCGUCUCCCAGAUUCUUAAGAAGUAAAUUCUUUAAACCCUAGGCUACAAUCCCUCAUUUAAGGAAUAUUAAGGGUGGAAAGAACCUUGGAUCUUGGAGAUUAUCCAGGACACACUGUUAAGCUUUUUUUUUUUUUUUUAAAGGAAGGUACAGAAUAGCAUGAACAGUGUGAUACCAUGUGUAAAGCUAGUAAUAAAAGAAGAAGGUAAGCUGAUCAAGGAGCCAGUGUUUCUGCAGUGGAACAGUGAUGGUCUCAGAGGAGGGGGACAGUGUGGCCGGGGGAAAGAUACUCGUCACCGUGAACGUUUUUGUACCUGCUGCGAUUUGUGCCGUGAUCGUAUACUACCCAAACUCCAUCACCACACUCAAAACAGAUUCCAAAAAGGCAGGAUUCUGAGGCUCGGAGGAACGCUGUGGGCACAGAUGAAGCCGGUGAAGGGGCUGGGCGGACGCAGGCCGGCGUCCAGGACCUGGCCUGCGCUCUCCCCUGAAGGCCGGCCCAGGUCCACGUGGCUCUGGGAGCUGAAAGGGCCCGUUCUUCUCCUGUUGUCCCUGGCAUGUGCAUCCUAGCCUGCAGUGAGCAAGUAGUCAGGAAGUUUUGAGAUCCCUCCCCAGGCCGGCCAGGAGAAGGGAUCAGCGGACUUGGCCGCUGGUGCCUUUCCAAAGCCCCAGGUGCUGCCUGCCCGCUGGGCUCCCACAGACCCGCCCACCAGCCCCCUGGGAAGGAGGAGGGCUGGGGGCACAUCCGGACAGACCACAGGCCUCGCCCCCCACCUCUGAACCCUUCAUCUUCCCUAAUCGCCGGUCCGAAGAGACCUGGCUGAAAAUUAGUUUAAAUGCUAAGUUGAGUUUAAAACCACUAGUCUCAGCCCCUCUGGAAACGGGACACCAUGUAAAAAUAGAGAUUUUAAAUCAACUUGAUUUUCUAAGCUUUAUACAGCUUUGCUGUGAGGUUCAGAGCCCUUCGGCAAAAAAAUGAUGUUUGAAGAGAAUCAGGUGAGCCGGGAGGAUUCUUUCAGGAUGAAGUUGUCUACUCUUCAUUAAAAAAACAGGACCCCCUAAAAUAACCCUGAAAGAAGAUGCUGUGCUUGAAUCGAGUUUAGCAUCAGGGCAGCCCUUACCCUCUGCCUGGAUUCCUGUGUGGUGGAGGCUUAGCCAGGUGCCCUCUUUCCUUGGCAGAAUCAAAAGUAAUUAAGAGCAAAUGAUUGCUGGGGUCAUUGGAAAUGCCAGGGCCUCAGGAUCAUACUUGCAAAGCAAGCAGAAUUGGUCUUUUUCCAAAACCCUGCACUGAUGAGGCCACAGGGUCGUAAAUCAAAGGGCUUGCCUGCAAACCAGACCACUCUCCCCAAGCCACGUUUCUGAAAUAGCCUGCCUGGAACGCUGAUAGUGGGGCUGCCCGUCGGAGGCGGAAACACAGCAGAGUGUUUUGGGGGUGCCGGACCGCUGGGAGGAAGCAGGGGUACUCGUGUGCUUUCUCUCCUGAGUUCCCUGCAGGCCUCUGGACUGCGAGUAGUCAUUUGUUUUUGAGGGAGCUUGUCUUCCCAAGCCUCCUCAGAGCAUGUGAGCUACACAGAUUUAUGGUGACAUCUGUGACAUCCGAGGGACUUUGGACCGCGUGGCUGUGGACAUCGGAGUUUCCGCCCAGCUCCAGGAGGCAGCUCUGCAGCAGGAAGGGGUCUCUCCUCAGGCAUGUGGUUGGCGUGGCUCCCGGCGGGGUGGGACGCAGUGUUCUGUCGGUUCCGCUCACGGAAGACCCGGCAGCCAAACGCAGGCCCUGAGGAACCGGCCGUGCCUCUCUCACCCUUUUCCGUCGUCCUUCCAGCCCGGGCCCCUCUGUGGUGGUUGCAUCACAGCUACCGGGUUGCUGUGCAGAGUCCUUGUGAGGCUAAGUCCUUCUGUCCUCAACGCCUGCCACCUGCUCCUGGCAGGCGGUGACCAGGCUGAGGGGGUCCGAGCAUUGCCGUGUGCAUGUGGCAUUGGCUGCCCCGGCCUGGCCAGACAGACUGCCAGCCUCCGGGUGUGGCCCUAAGGCUACAGUUACAGAGACCCAACCUGUGUGGCCACGGCCGUUUCCCCUACUUUCUUCUGAAAGAGGAAUCAUCACGGCUCCUUUGGGAGGUCAGAAUGAGCCCGAGUCCACAACAUCCUAGGAUCCCAGCUCUGAAAGGCACCCCAAGAGGCCCCUCCCACAAGGCGGGCAGCGCUCACGGUUGUGAUGAAUGCUGGCUGCUCUGUUCAUCUUGUUACGUAUCCGAGGACAACUUUCUAACCAUCCAUCAGCCCCUGAGCCAUGAACCUGUAUCACACCUACUGCAUUCUCCUAGGUGUCGUGGGACAUAGGAAAACGGGAGGGCGCUGGUCUUGGCCUCAAAUAGCUACCAUGUCACGGAGAGGAGCCGGGAAGGAUGUCCGCGUAGGAAGACCCACCGUAGGGCGCCUGCAGUUCAGUCACACGCGUGGUGAAUGGCACUCGGGAAGACAGCUUUCAGCAUCAUCCUCGGCCAUCCGUGGAGGUUUCUUCCUGAGAAACGUGACCCGGGGGAGCAGAACUCUAGGAGGGGGCAUUUCAUCCUCUAUCCCCAUUUCUCCUCCUCCUCAAACAAAACAUUUAGCCCAAGAAAUGUCUUAUGCAGGCUGCUUCUCUAGUUGACUUAUUCACGACAAGAUCACGUCAAGUAACUUUUUCCAUUCUGGGAAGAUGCUGGGAAACAAGUGGAUCCAUCAGCAAAUGCUGACGAACAAGCUCUCCAGAAAUAAAUGUUGGCAGGGAACAGGGCAAAGCCUAGAGAACUGUGUCAGUCAUCAGCCAGAGCGGACCUUUUCAAGGGACCAGAGCCCUUGGUAGGGAGACGUGUGUUCCUUGCAGACCCCAGCCUAAGGGGCAGCCUGGGGCCAGAAGGGAGCGCUCGGCAAGCCCCACAGCCGAGUUCCGUCCCAGAUCCCUCUGAGCCAUGUCAUUCUCUCUCUCUGUGCUUUGAUGGCCUCAUCUGUGACGUGUACUGUGGUCUCUUUGGGAGACUGAGAAGCGUAAGGAGAUGAUGUACUUGAACUUCCCCGGCAUCAAACGCCCUGUACAUGCAAACUGUGUUAUUUAACUGUUCCCAGGGCCGGGCCAGGAUCAGGAAGCACAGUGGGAAAACCCCCCUCUGCCUAGGACAUUGCUCGCUGAUAAAAUGUGAUGUUACAUUUUC
This is a long non-coding RNA of Balaenoptera ricei (Rice's whale), 5128 nucleotides long. RefSeq lists it as uncharacterized. The record is from RefSeq and is a predicted model, not a curated record. NCBI's taxonomy places the organism in Eukaryota, Metazoa, Chordata, Mammalia, Artiodactyla, Balaenopteridae. The transcript has 2 exons.